GACGAACGCUGGCGGCGUGCUUAACACAUGCAAGUCGAACGGAAAGGCCCUGCUUUUGUGGGGUGCUCGAGUGGCGAACGGGUGAGUAACACGUGAGUAACCCGCCCUUGACUUUGGGAUAACUCCAGGAAACUGGGGCUAAUACCGGAUAGGAGCUCUUGCUGCAUGGUGGGGGUUGGAAAGUUUCGGCGGUUGGGGAUGGACUCGCGGCUUAUCAGCUUGUUGGUGGGGUAGUGGCUUACCAAGGCUUUGACGGGUAGCCGGCCUGAGAGGGUGACCGGCCACAUUGGGACUGAGAUACGGCCCAGACGCCUACGGGAGGCAGCAGUGGGGAAUAUUGCACAAUGGGCGGAAGCCUGAUGCAGCAACGCCGCGUGCGGGAUGACGGCCUUCGGGUUGUAAACCGCUUUCGCCGGUGACGAAGCGUGAGUGACGGUAAUGAGUAAAGAAGCACCGGCUAACUACGUG
Molecule: ribosomal RNA, 468 nt
Filed under: uncultured bacterium
Lineage: Bacteria
Description: partial 16S ribosomal RNA
Rfam family: Bacterial small subunit ribosomal RNA
Source: RNAcentral